Long non-coding RNA from Acipenser ruthenus (sterlet), 1486 nucleotides. RefSeq lists it as uncharacterized. The record is from RefSeq and is a predicted model, not a curated record. The transcript has 3 exons. Lineage: Eukaryota; Metazoa; Chordata; Actinopteri; Acipenseriformes; Acipenseridae.
GCCAGUGCAUUCCUAACUCCCCUUGCACUAAGGCUGACUGAGGCUGUGGGAAGACAUAUAACUCUUGUGCUCUGUUUCUUUCUUAAAAGUCCUGUGGUGUUGCAUUCAGGUACUUUGUCCUGGUUCCACCUGCAUGGGCUCUGAGUCUGGGAAAAUCCCUGGAUAUAUCUGCUGGUCUAGGCCCUAUAAAGGCAGCUGUGUCCUGAGUGUGAAAGGCUAGCAUGCAGAGGAUAACGUUUAACGUGGAGUGUAGGUGCUGGAAAGGCUGGAUUGAGAAUGCCGUAUCUGGGCAAAGUCAGCGGUGGAUCGCAGCCCUGGAACUAUUACUGCAAAGGAAGGAUGCGAGUCUCAGCCCCGAUCAAACGGGUUCAGAGACCGCUGAAGUGCGGCUCUUGAGUCGGGGGAUGUAGUAACCUUUCCUGCCAAUCAAGAUGUGAUGAGGACAACACCCUAACUGGCGGGCACCUGUUGCACCGAAGAGCAACUUCAAGGAGACAGUCAUUCUGCAUCACAUUUUAGGACUGCUAAUCCCUGCAAUGCGAUUUUGAUUUAUUUAUAAAAGAACGCUUAAUCAGUUUCUUUGACAGAAUCCCAAAGAUACUGCACUGUUACACAGAAUGAGGAUGCCCAGCCUCCAGGAGAAUUUCUUUGUCGCUAAUUGUGUAGAACAGUUAAAUACUGUAUGUAAAAUAAUGUGAUAUCUGUAUAAUGUGAAAUAAUGUAUAAUGUGAAAGCAAUUGUAAGUCGCCCUGGAUAAGGGCGUCUGCUAAGAAAUAAAUAAUAAUAAUAAUAAUAAUAAUAAUAAUAAUAAUAAUAAUAAUAAUAAUAAUAAUAAUAAUAAUAGUAUGCGUGCAAAUGCCUUGAGAUAAUAAAUAAACGCAUACGUCCAUAAAUACACUUUUGAGUUGUAUUUCUGGUCAAACUCAAUUGUAACUUGUGAUUUGCACCUGCACACAACGAAAUAUGGGACAGGUAAGGUACAACAAGGGCAGAAAUAUGGCAAUCGGUCAUUGCAUUUGAUUGUAAAUAAGGAGAGUUCACACGCUGAUCGAGUGACUGAAGAGAACAAGCGAGUCAUUUUAAUCAGGUGGUUAUCUCCUCAUCGUGGAGAUCAGAGCUCUAUCACUCCUGGGCUCGUCAUUGUGUCCCCCUCCUGGAAAUGACAGUUCCCUCAGAAACGUGAAUCAGGUCCCUGGAUGAGAUUUCACUGUCUACUGCACUAAAAUUCCACUAUUACCAUGCGCAGUCAAACGAGCCCUGUGUGUGUCCUGGGCAUGUAGGCUGUAACGAUGUAGUAUCAUUUUUCACUUUCUGCAUUAAAAUAACGUGCAAUGCCACUUUCACCUUGCUACAGAAAUAUUGACGACGCAGAAUACGGUUAUACAAAAUACGGUUUUAUCAACUCAAUGUUAAGGAAAUGUACGUAAAAAUACGUUGUUGUUUUUCAUUUUACAGUGUAUGGAAUAAAUUCUAUUGUUGAAAUUGU